AUUGAACGCUGGCGGCAGGCCUAACACAUGCAAGUCGAACGAGUGGCGGACGGGUGAGUAAUGUCGGGGAAACUGCCUGAUGGAGGGGGAUAACUACGGGAAACGGUAGCUAAUACCGCAUACCAUCAGAUGUGCCCAGAUGGGAUUAGCGUGUUGGUGGGGUAACGGCUCACCAAGGCGACGAUCCCUAGCUGGUCUGAGAGGAUGACCAGCCACCCGGGAACUGAGACACGGUCCAGCCUCCUACGUGAGGCAGCAGUGGGGAAUAUUGCACAAUGGGCGCAAGCCUGAUGCAGCCAUGCCGCGUGUAUGAAGAAGUCCUUCGGGUUGUAAAGUACUUUCAGCGGGGAGGCGUUACCCGCAGAAGAAGCACCGGCUAACUCCGUGCCAGCAGCCGCGGUAAUUC
This 406-nucleotide ribosomal RNA is filed under the name uncultured bacterium. RNAcentral's name for it is "partial 16S ribosomal RNA". It matches the Rfam family "Bacterial small subunit ribosomal RNA", at positions 30 to 526 of the family's 1533-position model. The record is from RNAcentral.